RNAcentral lists this non-coding RNA (29 nucleotides) under Rattus norvegicus (Norway rat). Lineage: Eukaryota; Metazoa; Chordata; Mammalia; Rodentia; Muridae. The record is from RNAcentral.
UCGCAAGCUAGAAACCAAAAAUCAAAAUA